RNAcentral lists this long non-coding RNA (828 nucleotides) under Musa acuminata (dwarf banana). Its description in RNAcentral is "long non-coding RNA (MACU_LNC001310)". The record is from RNAcentral. Lineage: Eukaryota; Viridiplantae; Streptophyta; Magnoliopsida; Zingiberales; Musaceae.
UGAAUGAUUUAAAAUAUGACUAGAAUAUGUUGAAAUUUUAUGUGUUGAAAACAUGAUUUUUAUUUGAAUUUAGAAAGCUAUUUCCUUGUGUUAAAACUUUUCUCCUAGUCCCUCUUUUAAUGUCUUAUGAUUUCUAGUCAAAUUGAUAAUGUUAUUUCUUUGUAUUAAAGAUUUUCUCCUCAUCUAUCUUUUAAUGCAUUAUUAUGUUUUCAUUUAUGUUGUUAAUGGGUAUAUGCUAUGACUAGUCCAUGGGCCAGGGCUGGGCCAGUUUUAUGUAAUGCAUGCUCAAUCAUGUAUAAUGCACAUGACCAGUAGAUGGACUGGCUCAAUCUAGCCCAAUAUUAUUGUUGAACUUGAGCCCAAAUAUUGAUUAAAUUAAACUAAACUUGAUUAGUCUAGAUCAAUUCAGGGUGAUUCCGAAUUGAUUGACUUAUUCAAGUUAGUUUAACCUAAAUUAAACUUAAUCUAGUCUAAAUUAUACUAGUCUAGGGUGGUUCCAAACCAGUUAAAUAAGGAUUAGAGAUCAGUUCAGUUAGGCUCUAGUAAAUCGAGUUCAAUUGAAUCGAUUAAACUAGAGUUCAAGUCAAUUGAGGGCUAAUUUAUAUUAUUUGAUAUUGAUGAUAUUUGAAAGAGAUGUUUUAAAUAUGUUAUUUCAUCCCGAAAUGGACAUGACCAGUGUGAGAUUAUAUUAUUUUCCUACCGAGAGUAGGUAGUUUAACCUAAAUUAAACUUAAUCUAGUCUAAAUUAUACUAGUCUAGGGUGGUUCCAAACCAGUUAAAUAAGGAUUAGAGAUCAGUUCAAUUAGGCUCUAGUAAAUCGAGUUCAAU